CAGUAGCCACGGGAAUACGUAGGUGGCAAGCGUUGUCCGGAAUUAUUGAGCGUAAAGGGCUCGCAGGCGGUUUCUUAAGUCUGAUGUGAAAGCCCCCGGCUCAACCGGGGAGGGUCAUUGGAAACUGGGAAACUUGAGUGCAGAAGAGGAGAGUGGAAUUCCACGUGUAGCGGUGAAAUGCGUAGAGAUGAGGAGGAACACCAGUGGCGAAGGCGACUCUCUGGUCUGUAACUGACGCUGAGGAGCGAAAGCGUGGGGAGCGAACAGGAUUAGAUACCCCCGUAGUCCCUGUCUCUUAUAC
This 301-nucleotide ribosomal RNA is filed under the name uncultured bacterium. RNAcentral's name for it is "partial 16S ribosomal RNA". It matches the Rfam family "Bacterial small subunit ribosomal RNA", at positions 509 to 807 of the family's 1533-position model. The record is from RNAcentral.